AUUGAACGCUGGCGGCAGGCCUAACACAUGCAAGUCGAGCGGAUGAAGGGAGCUUGCUCCUGGAUUCAGCGGCGGACGGGUGAGUAAUGCCUAGGAAUCUGCCUGGUAGUGGGGGAUAACGUCCGGAAACGGGCGCUAAUACCGCAUACGUCCUGCGGGAGAAAGUGGGGGAUCUUCGGACCUCACGCUAUCAGAUGAGCCUAGGUCGGAUUAGCUAGUUGGUGGGGUAAAGGCCUACCAAGGCGACGAUCCGUAACUGGUCUGAGAGGAUGAUCAGUCACACUAGAACGGAGACACGGUCCAGGCGCCUACGGGAGGCAGCAGUGGGGAAUAUGGGACAAUGGGCGAAAGCCUGAUCCAGCCAUGCCGCGUGUGUGAAGAAGGUCUUCGGAUUGUAAAGCACGUUAAGUUGGGAGGAAGGGCAGUAAGUUAAUACCUUGCUGUAUUGACGUUACCAGCAGAAGAAGCACCGGCUAACUUCGUG
This 484-nucleotide ribosomal RNA is filed under the name uncultured bacterium. RNAcentral's name for it is "partial 16S ribosomal RNA". It matches the Rfam family "Bacterial small subunit ribosomal RNA", at positions 30 to 507 of the family's 1533-position model. The record is from RNAcentral.